RNAcentral lists this ribosomal RNA (1338 nucleotides) under Pseudoneureclipsis achim. RNAcentral describes it as "16S ribosomal RNA". The record is from RNAcentral. Lineage: Eukaryota; Metazoa; Arthropoda; Insecta; Trichoptera; Polycentropodidae.
UUAUUUUAUUAUUUAAUUUUUUUAUAAUUUAUUUUUUAUUUAUAAUUAAAUUUAUUUUUUGUUUAUAGUUAUUGUAUUAGUAUUGAUUUAGAAUUUAUAUAAGAAUUUUAUAGGGAAUUAUUACAUUGAUGGGUAAUUGGUAUAAUUUAUUAAUAAUUGUUGAAAAAUGAAUAUUAUUUUGUAUUUUGUGUAUCAAAGUUUAUUAAUUUUAUUUAUUUAAUUAUUGUUUUCUCGAAUUUAAAUGAGAUAAUUGAUUUAGUUAGUUACUGUUGAAUAAAUUGUAUUAAUUAAUUUUAGUUAGGGAUGAUAAGUUAUUCGUUUUUAAAUAUAUCUAGUUUUUGAAUUAUAAAAUUUAAUUUUAUUUAUUGAUUUAGUAAUGAGUUAAUUUGUUAAUUUCGUAUUAUUAUUAAUAAUUAAAUUUUAUUUGGGUUUAUCUUGAUAAUAUAUUUUUAUAUUUAUUUUGUUAUUAUUUUUAUUAUGAAUGUGGAUGAUUAUAAUUUUUAUUAUUAUUUAUAAUAAAAAUUUUAUUUUGAUGAUUUGUAUAUUUAAUAUAGUAUUAAUUUAUUAAUUUAGGAUAUUUAUUUAAUUGUAUUAUAUUGGUUAAAAUGAUGAAAUUAGUAUUAUUAUGAGGUAAUGGUAUUUUGUUGAUUAAUUAUAAUUAGAUUUAAUUAAUUUGGCAAAAAUUUAUGUUCAACUGUUUAUCAAAAACAUUUUUUUUUGAUUUUGAUUUAAAGUAUGGUCUGCCCACUGAAUUUAUUUGAAGGGCUGCAAUUUGUACUAAGGUAGCAUAAUAAUUAGUUUUUUAAUUGGGAACUGGAAUGAAUGAUUUAAUGAAAUAUGAUCUGUGUUUAAUUUAUAUUUAAAAAUUUUAUUAUUAGAUGAAAAGGUUUAGAUUUUAAUUAUAGACGAGAAGACCCUAUAGAAUUUUAUUAAUUUUAUUUAUUUAAGUGAGUAAAAAUUUAUUUAGUUGGGGUGAUUUUAAAAUUUAUAAAACUUUUAUUUUUAAUUAUUAUUAGGAUUUAUUAUUAUAUUUAUUUUUAUGUUUUAAAUUUAUUAUUAAUUGAUUUAUUUAAAUUACCUUAGGGAUAACAGCGUAAUUUUAAUUUUGAGUUCUUAUUGGAAUUAAGUUUUGCGACCUCGAUGUUGGAUUAAGAUUUAUUUUAGAUGGAAAAAUUUAAAUUAUUUAGUCUGUUCGACUAUUAUUAUCUUACAUGAUCUGAGUUCAGACCGGUGUGAGCCAGGUUGGUUUCUAUCUUUAUUUAUUUUUUAUUUUUUAGUACGAAAGGAAUUUAGAUUAUGAAUUUUUUAUUUUUAUAAUUGAGUUAUAUUAAUGAUUUU